Molecule: ribosomal RNA, 191 nt
Filed under: uncultured bacterium
Lineage: Bacteria
Description: partial 16S ribosomal RNA
Rfam family: Bacterial small subunit ribosomal RNA
Source: RNAcentral
AGGCUGCAACCCGCCUGCAUGAAGUUGGAAUCGCUAGUAAUCGCGGAUCAGCCACGGCGCGGUGAAUACGUUCCCGGGCCUUGUACACACCGCCCGUCAAGCCAUGGAAGCCGGGAGUGCCUGAAGUGCGUGAGCGCAAGCAGCGCCCUAAGGUAAAACCGGUGACUGGGGCUAAGUCGUAACAAGGUAAC